Molecule: regulatory RNA element, 93 nt
Rfam family: PhotoRC-II RNA
Source: Rfam
UUUUUAACACAAACACCCGCUAACCGAGACCUAUGGGUGUCUAAAGCACGUCUCUCAUACCUUGUCUAAGGGUGGCAAGGAAUAGUAACUCCA